RNAcentral lists this ribosomal RNA (460 nucleotides) under uncultured bacterium. Its description in RNAcentral is "partial 16S ribosomal RNA". It matches the Rfam family "Bacterial small subunit ribosomal RNA", at positions 338 to 795 of the family's 1533-position model. The record is from RNAcentral.
CCUACGGGAGGCAGCAGUGAGGAAUAUUGGUCAAUGGACGAGAGUCUGAACCAGCCAAGUAGCGUGAAGGAUGACUGCCCUAUGGGUUGUAAACUUCUUUUAUAUGGGAAUAAAACGUUCCACGUGUGGGAUUUUGUAUGUAUCAUCUGAAUAAGGAUCGGCUAACUCCGCGCCAGCAGCCGCGGUAAUACGGAGGAUCCGAGCGUUAUCCGGAUUUAUUGGGUUUAACGGGAGCGUAGGUGGAUUGUUAAGUCAGUUGUGAAAGUUUGCGGCUCAACCGUAAAAUUGCAGUUGAAACUGGCAGUCUUGAGGACAGUAGAGGUGGGCGGAAUUCGUGGUGUAGCGGUGAAAUGCUUAGAUAUCACGAAGAAUUCCGAUUGCGAAGGCAGUUCACUGGACUGCAACUGACACUGAGGCUCGAAAGUGUGGGUAUCAAACAGGAUUAGAUACCCCAGUAGUC